This 854-nucleotide ribosomal RNA is filed under the name uncultured bacterium. RNAcentral describes it as "bacterial SSU rRNA". It matches the Rfam family "Bacterial small subunit ribosomal RNA", at positions 8 to 853 of the family's 1533-position model. The record is from RNAcentral.
AGAGUUUGAUCAUGGCUCAGAUUGCACGCUGGCGGCAGGCUUAACACAUGCAAGUCGAACGGUAACAGGGAGAAGCUUGCUUCUUUGCUGACGAGUGGCGGACGGGUGAGUAAUGCUUGGGAAUCUGGCUUAUGGAGGGGGAUAACUACGGGAAACUGUAGCUAAUACCGCGUAAUAUCUUCGGAUUAAAGGGUGGGACUUUCGGGCCACCUGCCAUAAGAUGAGCCCAAGUGGGAUUAGGUAGUUGGUGGGGUAAAGGCCUACCAAGCCGACGAUCUCUAGCUGGUCUGAGAGGAUGACCAGCCACACUGGAACUGAGACACGGUCCAGACUCCUACGGGAGGCAGCAGUGGGGAAUAUUGCACAAUGGGGGGAACCCUGAUGCAGCCAUGCCGCGUGAAUGAAGAAGGCCUUCGGGUUGUAAAGUUCUUUCGGUGAUGAGGAAGGUGUUUGUUUUAAUAGAACAAGCAAUUGACGUUAGUCACAGAAGAAGCACCGGCUAACUCCGUGCCAGCAGCCGCGGUAAUACGGAGGGUGCGAGCGUUAAUCGGAAUGACUGGGCGUAAAGGGCACGCAGGCGGUGACUUAAGUGAGAUGUGAAAGCCCCGAGCUUAACUUGGGAAUUGCAUUUCAUACUGGGUCGCUAGAGUAUUUUAGGGAGGGGUAGAAUUCCACGUGUAGCGGUGAAAUGCGUAGAGAUGUGGAGGAAUACCGAAGGCGAAGGCAGCCCCUUGGGAAUAUACUGACGCUCAUGUGCGAAAGCGUGGGGAGCAAACAGGAUUAGAUACCCUGGUAGUCCACGCUGUAAACGCUGUCGAUUUGGGGAUUGGGCUUUAAGCUUGGUGCCCGUAGCU